AAGUCGUAACAAGGUAUCUGUAGGUGAACCUGCAGAUGGAUCAUUUCGAUGAAAACCCUUUUUUCAGAGGUGUGGCUCGCACCUGUCCAACUAAACUUGAGCUACCUUUUUUCAACACGGUUGCAUCGGUCGGCCUGUCAAACAGUGCGACGCAAGGAGAAAAUCCUUGCGUCUGCUGGGCGACGGACGGACAAUUUUAUUUAACACUUUUGGAUGAUCUAGGAUUUGAAGGAGAAAAAGUCAUUUUUACGAAUGAAAUCGACUGGUAAUGCGGUCGUCUAAUUUUAAAAACAACUUUUGGCAACGGAUCUCUUGGUUCUCC
This 322-nucleotide unclassified non-coding RNA is filed under the name Ustilago hordei. Its description in RNAcentral is "partial internal transcribed spacer region". The stretch from base 1 to 46 matches the Rfam family "Eukaryotic small subunit ribosomal RNA", at positions 1786 to 1831 of the family's 1831-position model. Lineage: Eukaryota; Fungi; Basidiomycota; Ustilaginomycetes; Ustilaginales; Ustilaginaceae. The record is from RNAcentral.